RNAcentral lists this ribosomal RNA (509 nucleotides) under uncultured bacterium. Its description in RNAcentral is "bacterial SSU rRNA". It matches the Rfam family "Bacterial small subunit ribosomal RNA", at positions 29 to 519 of the family's 1533-position model. The record is from RNAcentral.
AACGAACGUUAGCGGCGCGCUUAACACAUGCAAGUCGAGCGAGAAAGGGGCAACCCCGGUAAAGCGGCGCACGGGUGAGUAACACGUAGGUAAUCUACCUUCAGGUGGUGGAUAACUUUCCGAAAGGGAAGCUAGUACAGCAUGAGACCACGAUCCCGAAAGGGAACGAGGUCAAAGUCGGCCUCUUCAUGAAAGCUGACGCCAGAAGAUGAGCCUGCGGCCCAUCACGGUAGUUGGUAGGGAAUGGCCUACCAAGCCAAAGACGGGUAGCUGGUCUGAGAGGAUGAUCAGCCACACUGGAACUGAGACACGGCCCAGACUCCUACGGGAGGCAGCAGUGGGGAAUAUUGGACAAUGGGGGCAACCCUGAUCCAGCGACGCCGCGUGGGUGAAGAAGGCCUGCGGGUUGUAAAGCCCUUUCGGUGGGGAAGAAAGUCUCGACCUAAUACGUCGGGACCUUGACGUAACCCACUAAAGAAGCACCGGCUAACUCUGUGCCAGCCGCCGCU